This 430-nucleotide ribosomal RNA is filed under the name uncultured bacterium. RNAcentral's name for it is "bacterial SSU rRNA". It matches the Rfam family "Bacterial small subunit ribosomal RNA", at positions 38 to 507 of the family's 1533-position model. The record is from RNAcentral.
GGCGGUAUGCCUAACACAUGCAAGUCGUACGAGAGUUUUUAACUCUAGUGGCGACGGGUGAGUAACACGUGAGAAUUUGCCUUUAGGAGGGGAUAACAAUUGGAAACGAAUGCUAAUACCCCAUAUGCUUUUGAGUGAAAUGGAUUUUAUCCGCCUAGAGAGAAGCUCGCGGCUGAUUAGCUUGUUGGUAAGGUAAGAGCUUACCAAGGCGACGAUCAGUAUCUGGUUUGAGAGGACGAUCAGACAGACUGGAACUGAGACACGGUCCAGACUCCUACGGGAGGCAGCAGUGGGGGAAUUUUCCGCAAUGGGCGAAAGCCUGACGGAGCAAUACCGCGUGAGGGAAGAAUGCCUAUGGGUUGUAAACCUCUUUUUUCAGGGAGGAAUAAAAUGACGUGUACCUGAAGAAUAAGCAUCGGCUAACUCCGUG